AUACGUAGGGGGCGAGCGUUGUCCGGAAUGAUUGGGCGUAAAGGGCGCGUAGGCGGCCUGUUAAGUCUGGAGUGAAAGUCCUGUUUUCAAGAUGGGAAUUGCUUUGGAUACUGUUGGGCUUGAGUGCAGGAGAGGUUAUCGGAAUUCCAAGUGUAGCGGUGGAAUGCGCAGAUAUUUGGAAGAACACCGGUGGCGAAGGCGGCCUUCUGGGCCACGACUGACGCUGAGGCGCGAAAGCUGGGGGAGCGAACAGGAUUAGAUACCCUGGUAGUCCUAGCCGUAAACGAUGGACACUAGGUGUGGGGGGAUGUGCCCUCCGUGCCGCAGCUAACGCAUUAAGUGUCCCGCCUGGGGAGUACGGCCGCAAGGUUGAGACUCAAAUGAAUUGGCGGGG
Molecule: ribosomal RNA, 394 nt
Filed under: uncultured bacterium
Lineage: Bacteria
Description: partial 16S ribosomal RNA
Rfam family: Bacterial small subunit ribosomal RNA
Source: RNAcentral